GGGGGCGGCUGCCCCGGCCCGGGGUGGGGGGAAGCGCCUGCUUGGCCCUGCCUGCGCCUGGCCGGUGGAGAGCACCCGGCAGCGGCUGCGCCCAGCCUCAGAGCGAGGACGUCUGUUUUGUGGGGUGCUCCCCGAAGGCUCCCUCCCCCGGCUUUUAAAGCUCGGGGAGCUGUUGUGCGGCCUGAGCUUGGGUGGUCUGCUGCAAGGCUUUACUGCGCACGAGGACGCUGCAAGGACUGUUCCUAUCCCUGGCGCGACUUCCUCUCCUCAGCUGUUGUCUGCUCUCCCUCUCUCUUUGACGUCCCUUUCCGGAGGACUGCGUCUAUCUGCGGGUGCAGAGCUGUCCGGAAGCACCCAACUUCCACCAGCUGCCAGCCUGGGGCCACCCCGGGAGGAAGCGAACUGCAGCCACAGCAAGGCAGCAAUGAGGGUGGCAAUCUGACAGCACCUCCAAUGCCUCCCGCUCUGGCCACCGUUCCUGAAUAACUGGGGAGCUCCAGCCGGUCACGUGAAGGGUUGGCUGUCACAGGAGGGAGUGCAGUAAGCCCAGAAACACGUCCACGGUGUCCUGGUCUGACAGGUCCAUCAUGUCCAUCUGCUCCAGCAUGUCCACGUUCACCUCCAUGGAGGAAAUACUGCCUAAGGGAGCUGCAGAGACAGAGGCCAGCAAAAAGGUGAGACAUAGGGAAGAAGAAAUCCACAUCAUGCUGGAAAACCUCCUCAAAGAACUUCUGCCGGUCCCGUAGUUUCAGCUGCUGCUGCUGCAUCUGCUCUGCAUCCAGGCUCCGCUGCGCCUGCUCCAUGUCGGCUGGAGAGAAAGUUCAACGCCAGUGCCUGUGGCCUUGGCUCUCACGAGAGGCCUUGGGCUGUUGCUGAAGGAGCUUGUUGCUUUAUCCCUGGGCCUGGUACCUCCCUUUUGGGUUAUGUACCACAACAGCAAGGGCCCAAAUGGCACAAAGGGGCCGUGGCUGGUGUUCCCAGGCUGGUGUUUGACCGCAGCCAUUCCAGAUUUCCUCUCUGCUGCUCUUGGCCCAGCCAGCAUAAGGAAAAUGUGAUUACUGGAGCAGGCAGUGCAGUAACCAAGGAAACCAAACAAACAUCCUCUGCUCUGCCUGAGCAAGGCCCAAACCCUCCACUCCUCCAGGCUGGGGAGGAGGGAACAGCGAGCAGCAUCUCCACCCUGUCUGGCAGGAGCAAGGGCAAGGACAGCAUGGGGGCUGGCUGGCAGCAGUAUGGAGCAGCAGAGGACCCAAACAGGAGAGAGGUGGUGGGCCUUGGGAGACGUCCUGGAGAUCAGCGACAUAUCUUCCUGAGAGCACUUUCUGGGCUCCUCCUCAGCACCCUGUUUCUGGGGCAUCUUUCAGCUAAACCCCAUCAUCCGCAGCCACCUGCCCCGGGAGGCCGGGCUGUGCCUGCAGCACAGCACGGUGAUGUGCCAUGACUCAGGGCCAGUCACCCCACGCUUUCUGGAAAAGGAUCUGCUCCUCUGCUGCUGCUCCGUGCUGCUUCCUGCGAUGCCCAGGGUGGCAAUGCUGGCUGCCUUGAAGGGGCCUUUGCUCCGGUGUGUCUGUCUGCCCUCAGCACUGAGUGCCUGCUCUGGUGCAGAGGCUGAGUGUGCUGUGCAGCACCUGGCUUUCCUCGCAAGGCUGACUGGCAGCUGCAGCCUGGUGCCGCUGGGGUAAGGCAAAAACCUCCUGCCUCCCCCCGGCUAUCUGCAGGGGAGGAUAGAGCCAGGGACAAGGAGGGGGUGACCCGGGCACUAGUUAUGGAGCUGUCUCCCUUCAGCAGCUGGAGCCCCCCUUGUCCUGUCUGUCCCAGGCAGAGCUCUGCCCCCCAGCCUAGCUGUGCUGAAUCCACAGCAAACCACCGCAGCUCAGCGCACCAAGGAGAGGCCAUUGGGCUCCAGCCAGAGGCAGCCAGGGCUCAGGGCAGAGGCUGUGCCAGCGCCCAGAUGGCUCUCCAUGCCGCAUCUUGCCAAAGGGACCCAGUGUGGAGAUAAUGAGAAGAGUCUCUUAAGUCCUCCUGCAGUGCAAA
Athene cunicularia (burrowing owl) is the source of this 2034-nucleotide long non-coding RNA. RefSeq lists it as uncharacterized. The transcript has 4 exons. Lineage: Eukaryota; Metazoa; Chordata; Aves; Strigiformes; Strigidae. The record is from RefSeq and is a predicted model, not a curated record.